This is a non-coding RNA of Dictyostelium discoideum, 74 nucleotides long. Lineage: Eukaryota; Evosea; Eumycetozoa; Dictyosteliales; Dictyosteliaceae. The record is from Rfam.
AACCUAAUAACUCAGUUGGUUAGAGUAUUCGUUUGAUAAGCGAAAAGUCAGAGGUUCGAAUCCUCUUUAGGAGA